This 67-nucleotide transfer RNA is filed under the name Odontoglaja guamensis. Its description in RNAcentral is "tRNA-Pro". The record is from RNAcentral. Lineage: Eukaryota; Metazoa; Mollusca; Gastropoda; Cephalaspidea; Aglajidae.
UCAGAAAAAGUUUGAAAUUAAACACUAACUUUGGGAGUUUGAAAUCGAUGCUUUUAUCGUUUCUGAA